RNAcentral lists this ribosomal RNA (469 nucleotides) under uncultured bacterium. RNAcentral describes it as "partial 16S ribosomal RNA". It matches the Rfam family "Bacterial small subunit ribosomal RNA", at positions 28 to 507 of the family's 1533-position model. The record is from RNAcentral.
GACGAACGCUGGCGGCGUGCUUAACACAUGCAAGUCGAACGGAAAGGCCCUGCUUGCAGGGUGCUCGAGUGGCGAACGGGUGAGUAACACGUGGGUGAUCUGCCCCUUACUUUGGGAUAAGCCUGGGAAACUGGGUCUAAUACUGGAUAGGACCAUGCUGUAGGUGGUGUGGUGGAAAGAUUAGUUUCGGUAAGGGAUGAGCUCGCGGCCUAUCAGCUUGUUGGUGGGGUAAUGGCCUACCAAGGCGUCGACGGGUAGCCGGCCUGAGAGGGUGGACGGCCACAUUGGGACUGAGAUACGGCCCAGACUACUACGGGAGGAAGCAGUGGGGAAUAUUGCACAAUGGGCGCAAGCCGGAUGCAGCGACGCCGCGUGGGGGAUGACGGCCUUCGGGUUGUAAACUCCUUUCAGCCAUGACGAAGCCCUUGUGGUGACGGUAGUGGAAGAAGAAGCACCGGCUAACUACGUG